GAAAAGGAGUGGAUGCCCACGUGGCUGGCUGAGGCUCCUGGGCCCGCCGCCUCCGUCCCCCCGCUGGCCUGUCCCCGACUCAUCACUGGAUCGCCUCCACAUAAUUUGCCGGGUAUAGGCCAACUUGCCCGUUGUCCAAGCGUCCCUUGCACCAGCCCUGCUCAUCCUCGUCCUCCAUCUUGGUCAGCUCAUCCCCUGCAAGACAAAGAGGGAGCCGUCUCCAUGAGAGCACCUGGCUGAUGACUUGUGCACGGUGCCAUGUGUCAACCCUUCCUGAGACCCUGAGAAGGAGCCCCUGGCGCUGUUCUGGAAUCUCCCUGUGGCUCUAAUGUAUUAACGUGGUUCCAUUUAUCUUUGGUUGUUCCAACCUGAAGGACCUCCUACUUCUGGCCAGGCCUUGGGUAGAAGAGGAGAUACAGAGAUGAGAGGAACUGAUGGAUCCUGGUCUCAAGGAGGCAGACUAGGGUGGUGAGGGGGAGGUGGCACUAGGGUAGGGCCCCAGGUCUGGCAUUUGCCAGGUUAGGGAAGCAGAGCAGCUCAGAGCCCAGGGGUGGGCAGGGGCCUGUGUGCUUCUGGUUGGUAACUCACUGCAGGGAAGGCCAGUUGGGCCUGCUGGCUCGGACCUCGUCAGGAGCAAGCAAUUGGUGGGAAAGAAAUAGUCCCAGUGCUGUUUUGCCUUUAUUGCUAAGUUUGAAGUUUUGUAACUCUCUUUGGCAUUUUUUGGUCCAUUUUUCAGAAUUAGAUGCAGUUUUCCCCCUGGUUUAGCAUUUCCCUGAUGCUUUGGAUUUUGUAUGGCAGCAAUGCUGGUCAACAUGCCUGCGGAGCUAAUACCUGGGGCUUCCAGUGCUCCCCGGACUGCCUGGGCUCAAAUCCCACAGCCAUCACUCACUGGCUGGGAGACCUGGACCAACUGCGUCCACUCCCUGGGCCUGUGGCCCUCAUCUGUGGACUGGGGGUACUGUGAAGAUUAAGUGUUAAGACACUAAAGAACCCUGGGAGGGUGGGACAUGCGUAAGCACUGGCUCAGCCUCCCACUGUCGUGCCGCUUCUGCCAGACCAGUGCGCCUGCAGAUCUAACCCAGAGGCAUCAGGAGCAGAUGCAGGGGCCACAGGGCAGCAGCCACGAUGAACCACCAUCUCUUUCCACCGCUUCGUGCCUCGGGCCCCUGGCGUUUCUUUUGUCCUGCCUUCAUUGGUUGCUGUGCUCUCACAGGCCUGGAUCCAGGCUACCGAGGCUAGGAUGAGGCCUGUAACCCCACACUACCAUGUGGCAAACAGCCAGAACACCGCAAGAGACGUAAGUCAAGCCACACUGGCUGGGAGCUAAUUUUGCAUUGUUAAAAAGCAGGAUAACACAGAAAAUAGAACGGACAGGAAAGCUUUCACAUUGUGCAAAUGUGAACUGGUGAUUAGAAGGUUCAUUUCAAUCAGUUUGCUUUUGACAAUUUACUUGGAUCUGGAAGAAACAUUUUAAAUCUACAAAAUUACUGUCAAACCCAAUAGGCAGGAUUGAAAAGGAGUUAGAAAUUAUAAACAAAUAAACCAACAAAGUCGGGGGUAACAACCCCAACCAAAGAUAUCAGAAACUGGAUGAAGAUGGCUUAAAGGCACAUUAAAAAAAAAUCCAAAAAAA
RNAcentral lists this long non-coding RNA (1633 nucleotides) under Homo sapiens (human). RNAcentral describes it as "HSALNT0406274". Lineage: Eukaryota; Metazoa; Chordata; Mammalia; Primates; Hominidae. The record is from RNAcentral.